This 253-nucleotide ribosomal RNA is filed under the name uncultured bacterium. RNAcentral's name for it is "partial 16S ribosomal RNA". It matches the Rfam family "Bacterial small subunit ribosomal RNA", at positions 524 to 776 of the family's 1533-position model. The record is from RNAcentral.
UACGGGGGGGGCAAGCGUUGUUCGGAAUUACUGGGCGUAAAGGGCUCGUAGGUGGCCAACUAAGUCAGACGUGAAAUCCCUCGGCUUAACCGGGGAACUGCGUCUGAUACUGGAUGGCUUGAGUUCGGGAGAGGGAUGCGGAAUUCCAGGUGUAGCGGUGAAAUGCGUAGAUAUCUGGAGGAACACCGGUGGCGAAGGCGGCAUCCUGGACCGACACUGACGCUGAGGCGCGAAAGCCAGGGGAGCAAACGGG